UUAGACAGUCAUAAUAAACAGGUCACACCCGUUCCCAUCUCGAACACGGAAGUUAAGCUGUUUAUGUUAUGGGCACACUGACUAAUCGUCGGAAAACCUAUAAGCUGUCACCU
RNAcentral lists this ribosomal RNA (113 nucleotides) under Candidatus Pacearchaeota archaeon. Lineage: Archaea; Nanobdellati. The record is from RNAcentral.